This 197-nucleotide ribosomal RNA is filed under the name uncultured bacterium. Its description in RNAcentral is "partial 16S ribosomal RNA". It matches the Rfam family "Bacterial small subunit ribosomal RNA", at positions 118 to 302 of the family's 1533-position model. The record is from RNAcentral.
UGGGUAACCUGCCUCAAAGAGGGGAAUAGCCUCCCGAAAGGGAGAUUAAUACCGCAUAAUAUGUUUAAGUCGCAUGGCUUUAACAUCAAAGGAUUUUCUUUUAGAAAUUCCACUUUGAGAUGGACCCGCGGCGCAUUAGCUAGUUGGUGAGGUAACGGCUCACCAAGGCAACGAUGCGUAGCCGACCUGAGAGGGUG